GCGCGAAAACUUUACAAUGCGGGAAACCGUGAUAAGGGAAUCUCGAGUGCCAGCAUAUAAUGUUGGCUGUCCAGAUGCCUAAAAAGCAUCUGUUAGCAAGGGCCGGGCAAGACCGGUGCCAGCCGCCGCGGUAACACCGGCGGCCCGAGUGGUAACCGCUUUUAUUGGGUCUAAAGGGUCUGUAGCCGGCCAAGUAAGUCCCUUGGGAAAUCUGGCAGCUUAACUGUCAGGCUGCUAGGGGAUACUGCUAGGCUUGGGACCGGGAGAGGUGAGAGGUACCUUGGGGGUAGGGGUGAAAUCUUGUGAUCCUCGGGGGACCACCAGUGGCGAAGGCGUCUCACCGAGAACGGGUCCGACGGUAAGGGCGAAAGCUAGGGGCACGAACCGGAUUAGAAACCCCGA
This 402-nucleotide ribosomal RNA is filed under the name uncultured bacterium. RNAcentral's name for it is "bacterial SSU rRNA". It matches the Rfam family "Archaeal small subunit ribosomal RNA", at positions 339 to 741 of the family's 1478-position model. The record is from RNAcentral.